This 72-nucleotide transfer RNA is filed under the name Danionella translucida. It matches the Rfam family "tRNA". Rfam says of the family: Transfer RNA (tRNA) molecules are approximately 80 nucleotides in length. Their secondary structure includes four short double-helical elements and three loops (D, anti-codon, and T loops). RNAcentral also lists the same sequence under 1 other name. The record is from Rfam by way of RNAcentral. Lineage: Eukaryota; Metazoa; Chordata; Actinopteri; Cypriniformes; Danionidae.
GGUUCUAUGGUGUAAUGGUUAGCACUCUGGACUUUGAAUCCAGCGAUCUGAGUUCAAAUCUUGGUAGGACCA